UGUCCAUCCAAUCAUAGAUGUAGGAUCAAAUAAUUAACCUAUUGUAUUGGGAUUGUGCCACGGAGCAUCAUGGGGGUUCAGAACUCCUGUGUUAAGAACUCCUUUCAUUAUCUGGGGUAAACAGAAAGGUGCAAAUUAAAAGCAAGGGUAGACAUUUGCCUGAGAUCAGUUUCAUGAAGAAGGAUGAAAAGACAAGUCCCCUCAUGUUCCAUGAUUUAGAGGUGAUGACUACUCACUCCCAUUGUCAACUUUCUCUUGACAUGAACUGAAGACACGAUGUAUCAUAUGCCCGCUCAUCCACUGGCACAUUGAGUGUUUCCCCUCCACGCACUUAAAAUUCGGUCCUGCACUGGUCAAGCCUCUGAACACCUCAACUCACACCUCAUACCCUCCUUCAAUCACUGCUGUGAUCCCUUUCCAACACUAAGUAUCCUUCUCAUUCCCAUUCCACAUAAUGCUGUACUAUACAUGUCUUUAUUAAAUGCUUCAGG
Molecule: long non-coding RNA, 491 nt
Organism: Oncorhynchus gorbuscha (pink salmon)
Lineage: Eukaryota; Metazoa; Chordata; Actinopteri; Salmoniformes; Salmonidae
Exons: 3
Source: RefSeq, a predicted model, not a curated record